CAGCGUGUGACGCAGAGCAGGUGCUUUGGCCACAAAGGUAAAGAGCCUGUGAGAACAUCCAGCCCCCAAGACAUGCUCAGAAAUAAAAGCGAAACACCCAGCAUGGAGCCCAGCACAUGGGCAGUACGAGAACGGAGUAACACAGAGGGAAAUUCUGGCACAUGCGACAACGUGGAGGAGCCUUGAAGACACUACGCUCAGUGAAAGAAGCCAGUCCCCGGCCAGGCGCGGCGGCUCAUGCCUGUCAUCCCAGCACUUUGGGAGGCUGAGGUUGCUUCCAAUGGUGGAAAUGAGUCAUUACAACAGAGACCUGGAGACCACAAACCCUAAAAUACCACGUCAGAUCCGCAUGCGGAACACCCUAUUGCCAAAUAUCUGCUUGGAGCUGUGUACAUUUUUCCUCGAUCCCACGACUAAAACCAAUUGUAG
Molecule: long non-coding RNA, 429 nt
Organism: Pan troglodytes (chimpanzee)
Lineage: Eukaryota; Metazoa; Chordata; Mammalia; Primates; Hominidae
Exons: 3
Source: RefSeq, a predicted model, not a curated record